UCGCCAGUCAAGCGCGGCUUGCGUGUUGGGCCGCCAUCCAGCCCCCUCCGCCGGAGGGGUGGGGGAUGGGCCCGAAAGACAGCGGCGGCACCGUCUGGUCCUCGAGCGUCUGGGGCUCUGUCACCCGCUCUGAAGGCCCAGCCGGCGCCGGCCCACCCCAACCUCCUUCGAAAA
This 174-nucleotide unclassified non-coding RNA is filed under the name uncultured Eurotiales. RNAcentral's name for it is "sequence contains ITS2". The record is from RNAcentral. Lineage: Eukaryota; Fungi; Ascomycota; Eurotiomycetes; Eurotiales.